RNAcentral lists this ribosomal RNA (729 nucleotides) under bacterium enrichment culture. Its description in RNAcentral is "bacterial SSU rRNA". It matches the Rfam family "Bacterial small subunit ribosomal RNA", at positions 202 to 935 of the family's 1533-position model. The record is from RNAcentral.
AAAGAUUUAUCGGUACAAGAUGAGCAUGCGUCCCAUUAGCUAGUUGGUAUGGUAACGGCAUACCAAGGCAAUGAUGGGUAGGGGUCCUGAGAGGGAGAUCCCCCACACUGGUACUGAGACACGGACCAGACUCCUACGGGAGGCAGCAGUGAGGAAUAUUGGUCAAUGGACGCAAGUCUGAACCAGCCAUGCCGCGUGCAGGAUGACGGUCCUAUGGAUUGUAAACUGCUUUUGUACGGGAAGAAACCACUCUUCGUGAAGAGUAUUGACGGUACCGUAAGAAUAAGGAUCGGCUAACUCCGUGCCAGCAGCCGCGGUAAUACGGAGGAUCCAAGCGUUAUCCGGAAUCAUUGGGUUUAAAGGGUCCGUAGGCGGUUUUAUAAGUCAGUGGUGAAAUCCGGCAGCUCAACUGUCGAACUGCCAUUGAUACUGUAGAACUUGAAUUAUUGUGAAGUAACUAGAAUAUGUAGUGUAGCGGUGAAAUGCUUAGAGAUUACAUGGAAUACCAAUUGCGAAGGCAGGUUACUAACAAUACAUUGACGCUGAUGGACGAAAGCGUGGGGGAGCGAACAGGAUUAGAUACCCUGGUAGUCCACGCCGUAAACGAUGGAUACUAGCUGUUUGAGAGCAAUCUUGAGUGGCUAAGCGAAAGUGAUAAGUAUCCCACCUGGGGAGUACGAACGCAAGUUUGAAACUCAAGGAAUUGACGGGGGCCCGCACAAGCGGUGG